UACGAAGGGGGCUAGCGUUGCUCGGAAUCACUGGGCGUAAAGGGUGCGUAGGCGGGUCUUUAAGUCAGGGGUGAAAUCCUGGAGCUCAACUCCAGAACUGCCUUUGAUACUGAGGAUCUUGAGUUCGGGAGAGGUGAGUGGAACUGCGAGUGUAGAGGUGAAAUUCGUAGAUAUUCGCAAGAACACCAGUGGCGAAGGCGGCUCACUGGCCCGAUACUGACGCUGAGGCACGAAGGCGUGGGGGAGCAAACAGG
Molecule: ribosomal RNA, 254 nt
Filed under: uncultured bacterium
Lineage: Bacteria
Description: partial 16S ribosomal RNA
Rfam family: Bacterial small subunit ribosomal RNA
Source: RNAcentral